Molecule: long non-coding RNA, 297 nt
Filed under: Brassica napus (rape)
Lineage: Eukaryota; Viridiplantae; Streptophyta; Magnoliopsida; Brassicales; Brassicaceae
Description: long non-coding RNA (BNAP_LNC006676)
Source: RNAcentral
GUUUUAUCUUAUUAAUGGUUGACUAACUUCUAUUAAAAUCAAUGUAGAUUUAUGCACGUUUUAAGAAGUUUGGGUAGUUUUUUUGAAUAAUAACUGAGUUGAAGUCGUAUUUGGUAUUGACUAUUUGUUACUAUUUGUUCGGGUCGUAUUUGGUACGAGUGUAAUUGUUGGAGUGGAAAUUGACCAUUUUCCCACUUUUUUACUAUAUAAUUUAUCAACCAAGUUAAAAUCGUUAGAUGGCAACUAAGAGUUUAGUAGAGUUCUAACGUAUAAACAUAUUAAUCGAGAUCUAAACAU